GGGUUGUAGAUCAGUGGUAGAGCGCUUGCCUAGCAUGUGUGAGGCCCUGGGUUCGAUCCUCAGUACCCA
RNAcentral lists this transfer RNA (69 nucleotides) under Marmota monax (woodchuck). RNAcentral's name for it is "tRNA.Ala". The record is from RNAcentral. Lineage: Eukaryota; Metazoa; Chordata; Mammalia; Rodentia; Sciuridae.